Molecule: long non-coding RNA, 1299 nt
Organism: Solanum pennellii
Lineage: Eukaryota; Viridiplantae; Streptophyta; Magnoliopsida; Solanales; Solanaceae
Exons: 3
Source: RefSeq, a predicted model, not a curated record
GGGUUGGGGGGAGGGGGGAGGUGUAAAACAAUCCUUAAGAAAGAGACUCAAAUUCAAAACCUCUUAGUUACGGAUGUGGAAGUUCCCUCCUCUAAAAAUGAGCGUAUGUAGGCAUGAGGAGAAUUUUCUCAAACAUGUUGGGAGAUUAUAAAGAAUGAUAUAUGGUUGACGAUGAUGGCUUUCGGUGGUGGUGAAAUAACAAAAUAUAUUUCUCACAUGAAUGUAGUUUUAGUUCCCAAGAAUAAGAAUAUCAGUAAAUUUUUAGAUUUUAAUGUAGUUUUAGUUCCCAAGAAUAAGAAUAUCAGUAAAUUUUUAGAUUUAAGACCUAUCAGCUUGAGCUCUUUUGCUAAUAAAAUUCUAUCAAAGGUACUGCAUGAAAGAAUAAUUCCGUUCUCCUUGAUAUUAUCUCAAAGAAUCAGACGGGCUUUAUGAAAAGAAAAAGUAUUGCUGAAAAUGUUUUACUAGCACAAGAGAUAAUUAGAGACACAAACUACCAUAAUAUUGUGGCGAAGUUGGACAUGACUAAAGCGUAUGAUAUGGUGUCAUGAAUAUUUUUUAUUCAAGUUAUGAGAAGAUUUGAAUUUGAUGAGAGAAUUAUCGAUAUGGGCAUAAGAGGUCAAUGAAAUGAAUGAUGAAGAUUUUGAGGAGAUAUGAACACGUGUCAGGGCAACUCAUAAAUCUAAACAGAGGCUAUGUAUAUCUGCAUGAGAAGGGUUUCUCAAUUUGUUUGUCAGAGGAUUAAAAGAACUACUGGAGUCUCACAAAGUGUCUUUCCUUUUACAUAUCUUGGAUGCCCAACUUUUUCUAACGGGAGGAAAAAAAAUCAUAUUUUAAAGAGCUGAUAAAGAAAGUUGCCUAAAGAGUGAUGGGAUGAAAGAAUCAACUUUUGACUUAUAAAGGAAGGUUUGGACACAGAAGGAAGAAUUUUGAUGCAGAUGAUCAAGAGUUGGUCCUAUGUGAAAGCUCCUACAAAGCUCAAACAUAUUUUUAGAGGUAUUUCAACUCUCAUAAUGUGGAAUUUGUGGAAGAGAAGAAACCAUAUCAAACAUAAAGGUCGGUCCACCUUUGAAGGGUUCGUUCAACAAGUGAAAAAGAGCAUUUAAUUAAAGGUGAUGGUUAACAAUUAAGAGUUCAAAACAACUACAAAAUCUUGACAUGAAAUAGUGAAAAUAAUAGGAGCUUAUUAACCAAGGAUUUACUAUCAAAUUGUACAACAAAAUUUAUCGGAGUAAGAUCAAUUAAAUUAUAUUUCCUCCGAUUAAAAAAGAAUGACCUCCUUUCCUUUUUAGUUUGUUUCAA